RNAcentral lists this ribosomal RNA (426 nucleotides) under uncultured prokaryote. RNAcentral describes it as "bacterial SSU rRNA". It matches the Rfam family "Bacterial small subunit ribosomal RNA", at positions 355 to 796 of the family's 1533-position model. The record is from RNAcentral.
UGGGGAAUUUUCCGCAAUGGGCGCAAGCCUGACGGAGCAAUACCGCGUGAGGGAGGAAGGCUUUUGGGUUGUAAACCUCUUUUCUCAAGGAAGAAGCACUGACGGUACUUGAGGAAUCAGCAUCGGCUAACUCCGUGCCAGCAGCCGCGGUAAUACAGAGGGGGCAAGCGUUGUCCGGACUUACUGGGCGUAAAGCGCACGCAGGUGGUAACGCAAGUGGGGUGUGAAAGCCGCCAGCUCAACUGGCGGAGGCCAUCCCAAACUGCGUCACUUGAGGCCUGUAGAGGUAUGUGGAAUUGCCGGUGUAGUGGUGAAAUGCGUAGAGAUCGGCAGGAACACCCAGGGGGAAGCCAGCAUACUGGACAGGUCCUGACACUCAGGUGCGACAGCGUGGGGAGCGAACCGGAUUAGAUACCCGCGUAGUCC